Coregonus clupeaformis (lake whitefish) is the source of this 2485-nucleotide long non-coding RNA. RefSeq lists it as uncharacterized. The transcript is spliced from 2 exons. NCBI's taxonomy places the organism in Eukaryota, Metazoa, Chordata, Actinopteri, Salmoniformes, Salmonidae. The record is from RefSeq and is a predicted model, not a curated record.
UACAUGUUUGCAUUUCCUGCUGUGCCUUGAAAUGUCCUGCAACAACAGGGUGAUCAAGUUAAGAUCCUACAUCUGCGUGUGGCUACACAUAGUGGCUGUCCUCCUUAGUGGUGCUCAGAUUCAGUUAAUGCUCCUCUGGUCUCUAUUGGCAGAAUACUCACUUGAGAUAAGGGCACACAACUCAGACUUCCAAAAAAACAUUGUUGUUGAUAAAGUUUUUAUUUGUGCAUUUUCUCAAAUUCAGACAAGGCCCAAAGUGUACUGGUUUUAAUUCUACUUUUACAUCAGCUAUUGAUUAAGACAUAGGAAACCAGGUGAGGUGACUUCAAUCAUCAGCUUUAAUUGAUCAACUGACCAGUAAUUUGCCAAGGAUGAAUGAAAACCAGCAGACACUGCAGCCCUGGGGGACAGGAGUUUAAUAUGUUCUGAAGCUGAGUGAAUUCUGCACCUUCACCAUUAUUUUCUCUGUUAUUUUAUAGUUAUUGCAGAAUCAAUUGGCUAGUCCUGUUCUAUAUUGGUAACAUGGGCUAUGUCAUAAGACAAAGAAGACCAUGCCUGUCUUGCAUCUUAAUGUUUGCAGUUCACACAUUCACACUUGAUUAUGAACUCAACUAGUUGUUCACAUUUCCUCUGAAAGAUUGUCUGAAUCAAAAAGUAAAUUUUCCAGUUUUAAUAACAUUAGCAAAAACCCUUAUUCUUGACACUGGUUGGCCACAGUUUUGCCACAAACAAACGGAUGUUGUUUUAUUACUUACAAAUAUCAACGUAAUCUUGUAGUGGGGAGCAUGCACAUGGUUAAUUAGGUAACAGUCUGUAGUCAGGGCCAGGAUGUUUUUGAUGACCACAUGACCUGACUUGAAAGAACUCUUAACCAAGGCCCAAGGUUUUUCCUAGUCAGGUGGCGUGGGUGACAGAAACAUGCGCCGAACACAACAGGUGUAGACCUUACAGUGAAAUGCUUACUUACAAGCCCUUAACCAAGAAUGCAGUUUUAAGAAAAAUAAGUGUUAAGUAAAAAAUAAGAUAAAUAAAAAUUAAAGAGCAGUAUACUGUAUGCCAUUCAUGUCAUCCUUAUCACUGUUUUUCAUUGGAGGAAGUGGUUGGCUUCCUUCCUGAUAAUGAAUACUGCUGUCCACUGUACCUGAAAACUGUUGGCCUUCUCUACUUAUUUUCAGAUUCCUCUUAAUCUCUUCUAAAAGUUUAUAUGUAGAAAAGUUAUUGACAAUAUCACCCCAUCUUUUCCUUUUUUGUAAUUGAUGUGUCCAUACUGUGUGUGUUUAGUAGAAUGGGUGUGUGUGGACCUGCCUUGGACUAGGCUUGUCUUGUCCUGCACCUUCCAAAUCAAUCCCUGAAUAUUAUCCCCUUGGCACUUCUGUAAACCUGAAAGGAUUUGAUAGGUAUAUCAGAGGGCAAGAUGGAGCUAUUACCAAAUUGUGCAUACUGUACCUAUCUGAUCCUUUAAGAUGCACUUGAAAUGUCCAGGGGUUGUUUGGAAUUGAGCAUGUACUGUACCUUGUUUUUGAGAGUGGGGAUGGGAAAACAGGUGCUUGAGUUGUGAAUGUAUUUUGUUUGUUUUUCCCCUCUUUGUUUACUUGACACUUAGGACAAGUAAACAAAGAGUUGAUUUGCCACAUGCGCCGAAUACAACAGUGAAAUGCUUACUUACAAACCCUUAACCAACAAGUGCUUCAAAAAGGGAAAACACAAAAUUAUAACUAAGUGAAAUAAAAGUAAGAUUUGUCCCAAUUUACUUUUUGCUCUGGUGUUCAUGUUUUACUAACAUGCAAAAUUUAGGGGAUAACUUUUGUGACCGAAUGGGCAACAUUUAGGAAAGGAACCCACAAUCAUAAUACCAUAAUAUUUAACAGGAGGAUAAUGACACAUUUUUACAAGCAGUUCCUCUCAAACUGUGAUGAAAUGAUGAGAUAAGGGUAUUUCACCAGGGUUGGGGUUAUAUUAAUUCCAGUACAAUUCCUGUCAACUGUUAAAGCAGCCAUGGCAUUUCUCCAUAGGAAUGCAUUUCAAUGCCUGAAUUGGCUGGAAUGAAGGUGGAAACCCCAACCCUGCCUGAUUUCCACUAUUCUGCUGUAGGUUUUUCUGAGCAAUGGUUUGUUGCUCUAUACUAACUGAGCCAGUGGAGAGGGUUUUCUCUCCUUCCCUGGCAGGUCUGUGUUAUCCUUACUGUUGCCUUGACUCUAGCUCACUGGACCUGGGCCAGACUACUGGAGGUCCCACUGGGCCUGGGUUAGACUACUGGAGGCCCCACUGGGCCUGGGCCAGACUACUGGAGGUCCCACUGGGUCUGGGCCAGACUACUGGAGGUCCCACUGGGCCUGGGCCAGACUACUGGAGGUCCCACUGGGCCUGGGCCAGACUACUGGAGUUCCCACUGGGCCUGGGCCAGACUACUGGAGGCCCACUCGAAUGUUUGUACAUCUUUUUCUGGGACAAUGUAAUUAAUAAUAAAAAAUACUGAUAACAAUUA